AUUCAUUUUCUUGGUUCUUAAUGUGUAGUAUAAGUCAUUUGAAAAGCUUCAUUUGUAAUCUUUGCAAAUUUUCCAUAUCCUAGCAACUUACAAAAAUAAAGAUUAUGUAAAGUCUGAUUGAUAAUUGUUUGGUUCAGUGGUAGGAUUAUCUCAAGAUCCCUACUUGUACAGAAUGAUUAGUUUUGCUUCUUCACAUUUUGAAGUUUAGGUAGUAAGAUUACACAUAAUUAUCUGUUUCUGUGGAUUUGCUUCUUUGUAAGAAAAUUACUCUGUAUUUGAGUGAAAUUCAUUCUGUUGCUCUCUUACCACUUCUGCAAAUUUUUAUCUUAGCCACAUAUAAUCCCCCUAGUUUGUUGUCAUCUAAACUUAAUGAACAUGUUCUCUAUUCCAUAAGCCAGGUGAUUGGUGAAAACACUAAACAACCCUGAGCCCAGGGCCAACCCCUACGGAACACCACUACUUUACCCAGGCGCCACAGGUCAUCUUCUGGAUCAUCCCAUUCUGGUUCCCGUUCAAGUUCAAAAAAGAAAUAAUGUAUUAAAAUUUACAUCAAAAAAAAAUCAGUACAGUGCAUGAAGCAUAUUUUUAAAGAAGUUGGUGUCUUACUUGGUCAGAAGUGCUAAAUCUGCUAGUAGAGGUGCAUGCCUUCAUUGCUUCUCAGAACAAUACACCUGUGUUUAUUUGUGAAGUUAAAAGUAAAUAGCAUUUUAAGCCAUAAUGUC
Otolemur garnettii (small-eared galago) is the source of this 722-nucleotide long non-coding RNA. RefSeq lists it as uncharacterized. The transcript is spliced from 2 exons. Lineage: Eukaryota; Metazoa; Chordata; Mammalia; Primates; Galagidae. The record is from RefSeq and is a predicted model, not a curated record.